RNAcentral lists this long non-coding RNA (1260 nucleotides) under Apteryx haastii (Great spotted kiwi). Its description in RNAcentral is "lncRNA (ENSAHAG00000001501.1)". Lineage: Eukaryota; Metazoa; Chordata; Aves; Apterygiformes; Apterygidae. The record is from RNAcentral.
AUGUGGGGACAUGUCACACCAUCCCAUGCCCCUGGGACACACCGUCACACCAUGUGGGGACAUGUCACACCAUCCCAUGCCCCUGGGACACACCGUCCCACCGUGUGGGGACAUGUCACACCAUCCCACACCCCUGGGACACACCUUCACACCAUGUGGGGACAUGUCACACCAUCCCAUGCCCCUGGGACACACCGUCCCACCGUGUGGGGACAUGUCACACCAUCCUGUGCCCCUGGGACACACCUUCACACCAUGUGGGGACAUGUCACACUGUCCCAUACCCCUGGGACACACCGUCCCACCGUGUGGGGACAUGUCACGCCAUCCCACACCCCUGGGACACACCUUCACACCAUGUGGGGACAUGUCACACCAUCCCAUGCCCCUGGGACACACCGUCACACNGGACAUGUCACGCCAUCCCACACCCCUGGGACACACCUUCACACCAUGUGGGGACAUGUCACACCAUCCCAUGCCCCUGGGACACACCGUCACACUGUGUGGGGACAUGUCACACCAUCCCACACCCCUGGGACACACCUUCACGCCAUGUGGGGACAUGUCACACCGUCCUGCAUCCCUAGGACAUACUGUCACACCAUGUGGGGACAUGUGACACCAUCCCGCACCCCUGGGGCACACUGUCACACCAUGUGGGGACAAGUCACACUGUUCCAUGCCCCUGAGGCACACUGUCACACUGUGGAGACAUGUCACCAUCCCAUGCCCCGGGACACACUGUCAUACCGUGUGGGGACAUGUCACACUGUCCCAUGCCCUAGAGGCACAUUGUCACACCAUGUGGGCCCUGUGGACAUGUCACACCAUUCACCCCUGAGACACACUGUCACACCACCCUGUCCCCCGGGCACACUGUCCCCCAGGGACGCUGACACAACAAUACAAGCAAGAGUGCACGUUUUAUAUUUUUUGGCCAUGACCUUUCGAGGCCGGUACAGAAGAGGUGGCAUCUUCUCGCCUCCCGGGCGCUCCUGGCAGCUGGUCUCUGCAAGGGUAGUAUGGGUGGUGUGGGCACGUCUGACCGCGCUGUUCAGGUUCAGCUUCCAGCCUGUAUUUCUUUUUUUUUGGCUUAUCAAUAGCGUUUCCCACUGCCUGGCUCCAGCUGCCAUGGGAGCAGCCCAGCGUGUGCUUCAGCUUCACCAUCUUCUUCACUGUGGGGUCAGCUGUCCUCCAAAUUCUGCCGGGGUCUGGAGAGGAGAAAAUAACAGUGUUUUAGGGUACGUUUGUGUAUGA